This 329-nucleotide ribosomal RNA is filed under the name uncultured eukaryote. RNAcentral describes it as "partial 18S ribosomal RNA". It matches the Rfam family "Eukaryotic small subunit ribosomal RNA", at positions 1470 to 1796 of the family's 1831-position model. The record is from RNAcentral.
CCCUUAGAUGUCCUGGGCCGCACGCGCGCUACACUGAGUGUCUGAGAUACGAGUCUGCCUGGUCCGGCAAGGUCUAGGUAAUCGCUAAAAAACACAUCAUGCUUGGGAUAGAUUAUUGCAAAUAUUAAUCUUGAACGAGGAAUUCCUAGUAAGCGCAAGUCAACAGCUUGCGUUGAUUACGUCCCUGCCCUUUGUACACACCGCCCGUCGCUACUACUGAUUGGAUGUUUAAGCGAGGUUCUCGAACUGCUAGCGACUUAGCUUCGGUGAGGUCGCAGUGUGGGAAGUGAACCUAGCUUUGGUGUCUAGAGGAAGUAAAAGUCGUAACA